Odocoileus virginianus texanus is the source of this 2578-nucleotide long non-coding RNA. RefSeq lists it as uncharacterized. NCBI's taxonomy places the organism in Eukaryota, Metazoa, Chordata, Mammalia, Artiodactyla, Cervidae. The record is from RefSeq and is a predicted model, not a curated record.
UCCACUUUCACUUUUCUGUUGUUGAGGAGCAGGGGCUCUAGGGCCCUUGGGUUUCAGUAGCUGCUUCAUGCAGGCUCCGUAGUUGGGGCCUCCAGGCUUUGGAGCACAGGCUCAAAAGCUGUGGCGCACAGCCUUUAGCUCCUCGGAGGCAUGUGGCUCUUUCCAGGUUGGGGCUUGAACCCGUGUCUCUGGCCCUGGCAGGCAGAUUCUUUACCGCUUAGCCACCAGGGAAGCCCCACCUGUUUGAUUCUUAAACCGUCUCAUCUCACAUUUUCUCUUAAAGAUACAGGUCACACUCAUCUCUUCUAUAACAUAGACGUGGCUACUUAGAAAAAUGUGGUUUUUGUUUCUUAAUUUUAAAAUCCAGAGGCUGGCCCCUCAGCCAUACCAAGGCUCUGGCCACGCCCUGGCCUUACUGGAUCCUGGUAUUCUGAAGUGGGGGUAGGGGGGAGUCUUUUUGCUCCAGCAGGUCUCCUGACUUUUGUUUCAGAGCCCAUAGAAACUCCUUGGUUGAACUUCACCCACCGGCUCUAGGACAUCCACAUGGUACGCUGAACAGCAGGAAACUCCCGCAGAAGGGGAGGGCAGGGCUGAUGCCUCUGGGAGGCUGGCCCAGGCUCACAGCCCAUUCCUGCUGUGACCCCUGCGAUCUGAUUGAUGGAAGUUGUUCAACUGACCUAACAGUGCACCCUUUUUAAGGGGAAUGCACUGACAGCUGUUGGUAAAGAAAUCCGCCAGCAAUGCAGGAGACCCCAGUUUGAUUCCUGGGUUGGGAAGAUCCCCUUGAGAAGGAAAGGCUACCCACUCCAGUAUUCUGGCCUGGAGAAUUCCAUGGGCUGUGUAGUCCACGGGGUCGUAAAGAGUCGAACACGCCUGAGCAACUUUUUUUACUUUGACGGACUGUAUUGGUGAAGGACAGGGAUGAAGCCCAAGGCGCUGGCUGUUCUAGCAACAGCAGGUCUGCUUUAGGAGAAGCUGUCACCCCUCCUUCCCUGCUCCCGGCUCAGGCCGCAGCCGCCUUCUGGUGGUGCUGUCACAGACACGCCUUCAGUCCGACUAUCCAAGCCAAGUGUCGAUGAGCCUGUCUGCAGCGUGAGGCUCAGGGCGAGUCCACCCUGGCUGGGCCCUUGUGGCGGGCGCUGAUUCUUAACCUGGCUAGAGCGAUGGCCGCCCUGGGAAAUCUGGCAGGGCCAGACACCCUUCCGCAGACACUUCGAGCUCCACACAUGUGGUCUGGAGGCCAAUGCCGGGGGGCGAAGGAGCACGAGGCCUGCAAGUGACCGCAGGGCAAGGCGCACGUGGACGUGUGCUUCACUUAGGAGAUGGGUGCGCUAACUCCGGGCAGUCACAGAUGCCAUCUGGAACUUGGCAAAAGCCACAGCACCCUUCCUCAGAAAAUGGGACGGUACACACAACCCACAACAUCACAUAAAAGGCACUGGUCCAGGCAAAGCUGGGUGUGCUCUUUGGGGCCUGGGCCACCCUUCCUCCCCGGGACAGCGCUCAAGGGCAAGGCCCAGGAGGCCACAUGCUCUUGGGCCUCAUUUGUCAGAUAUCACUGGCCCGGCUCUGUUGUCCAGGGUCACCCCGACCUCAUCCAAUGUCCCCUCGGGAUGGACUCCAGCUUCGUCACCCCCAGGCGACAUCUCUGCUCUCUAGCGCCCUGCUCCUGCCUGGACGACAUGGCCCAACCCCAAGCCCAAGAAAUAACACCACGCACUGCCAUCUUCCUAAAGGUCGUUUUAUUGUAAAACCAUAAAUACAACACUGACAUGAAAUCAUUUAUUUAAGCAACUGAUUCUCUCUAACCAUUAAAAGGAUGUCUUUUGCCUUGGCAUCAACCAACCGGGAAAUAAUGUUGCAAGAAUCCGGGGGAGGAGGGUAGGGGGUGUUGAAUUCUGGACUGGGGCUUUUGGCGAUUUAAGGAACCAAGUGGACCCUUCCUCUUCACCCUGGGAAUGUCCCACUUUUGGACAAGAACAGACAGGUAAAAACAGCAAACAUUUAAACAGCUCAGUUUUAAAUUUUAUUACUCUGUAAAAAUCUCUUUUUUUUUUUUUUUCUGUUCCUUUCCUCCAUUUGACAUCAGUAAAAGUUUUAAACACCACAAAACUGAUUUGGCUAUAAAUGGAGAAACGGUACCCAAACCAAAACGAAACCGAAAACCCAAAGGACAAACAGAAAACCCUAAAUAAACCCUCAAGUUUGGUCUCGGGGGUUUACAAAUCACAAGAACCAUCAACUCAACCCCCAUGCAAAGUGACUCCUUGCAGAGCUGCUGGAUCCACAACGACACAGAGACCGCAAACAACGUCUUUUGUUAAUUAACACAGCAAGGGUGAUACUAGGUAACUUUUUUUUUUUUUUAAAUACAGUACAUGGUACACAGGGUCCCAAGAAAACCCUGAACAAACCCCUUGUGGAGACUUGAGCCAAGCACUGGCUGUUUAUAAAAAUAUUGUGUUGCUACAAAAGUAUAAAUUAAUGCUACCGGUAUUAAGAAAUAUUAAACACAUAAAACUUAUAAGGAUUAAGAAAAAUAUUCAUUAAUACCUGUAGAAAACUCUGGCCUAAAAAA